GACGAACGCUGGCGGCGUGCUUAACACAUGCAAGUCGAACGGAAAGGCCCUGCUUUUGUGGGGUGCUCGAGUGGCGAACGGGUGAGUAACACGUGAGUAACCUGCCCUUGACUUUGGGAUAACUUCAGGAAACUGGGGCUAAUACCGGAUAGGAGCUCCUGCUGCAUGGUGGGGGUUGGAAAGUUUCGGCGGUUGGGGAUGGACUCGCGGCUUAUCAGCUUGUUGGUGGGGUAGUGGCUUACCAAGGCUUUGACGGGUAGCCGGCCUGAGAGGGUGGCCGGCCACAUUGGGACUGCGGUACGGCCCAGUCUCCUACGGGAGGCAGCAGUGGGGAAUAUUGCACAGUGGGCGGGCGCCUGAUGCGACAGCGCCGCGUGCGGGAUGCCGGCCUUCGGGUGGUAAACCGCUUUCGCCUGUGACGAAGCGGGAGUGACGGUAAUGGGUAAAGAAGCACCGGCUAACUACGUG
RNAcentral lists this ribosomal RNA (468 nucleotides) under uncultured bacterium. Its description in RNAcentral is "partial 16S ribosomal RNA". It matches the Rfam family "Bacterial small subunit ribosomal RNA", at positions 28 to 507 of the family's 1533-position model. The record is from RNAcentral.